This 319-nucleotide long non-coding RNA is filed under the name Carica papaya (papaya). Its description in RNAcentral is "long non-coding RNA (CPAP_LNC007534)". The record is from RNAcentral. Lineage: Eukaryota; Viridiplantae; Streptophyta; Magnoliopsida; Brassicales; Caricaceae.
UGUGAAUAUGAUAUGAGAUAUUAGUAUGCGUUUAGUGUUUGUUUUGUUGAUGUGGAUCUUUAUGUGAAAGGCUUACUAGGUAUCUUGGAAAAUGGUGAACUGGCCCGGUACAUAGGAAAUCUUACUGUGGACGUUACCUCAGUCGAAUGGAGCUGAGAAAUCCCAUACCAGAAGGGUUUGGGAGAUAUAGUUCACCCUCAUACUGGACGGAGUAUCGAGACGAUAGAAUGUUUGGCGCCCAUUACUAGACGGGGUAUAGAGACCACCGGUUAAUUGAUAAAAUUGGAUAUUUAGUUCACACAUAGGAAAAUAUCUCUAU